UUUUUGCAUAUUGAAAGAGACUGCUUGUCAGUUUGACCAAGAAAUCAAAAUUGUUUACAUUGGAGCUUGCAAACCAAAGUGUUCAGCGAUUUGCACCGAGGAAUACAAUCCUCAAUGUGGUACAGAUAGCAAGACAUACUCAAACCCUUGUACUUUUAAACAAGCUCAAUGUGAAAGUGACGGGAAAAUUAGAUUGGCGCAUCAUGGAGAGUGUAAAUAGCUGCCAAUAAUACAGAAUAGAGAACGAAGAGAUGCUGUCUGAUGUCAUAAGAUUAGUUUAUUAAUUAAUGUGUAGUUU
Dendronephthya gigantea is the source of this 298-nucleotide long non-coding RNA. RefSeq lists it as uncharacterized. The transcript is spliced from 3 exons. NCBI's taxonomy places the organism in Eukaryota, Metazoa, Cnidaria, Anthozoa, Malacalcyonacea, Nephtheidae. The record is from RefSeq and is a predicted model, not a curated record.